GACGAACGCUGGCGGCGUGCUUAACACAUGCAAGUCGAGCGGUAAGGCCCUUUCGGGGGUACACGAGCGGCGAACGGGUGAGUAACACGUGGGUGACCUGCCCUCAGCUCUGGGAUAAGCCUGGGAAACCGGGUCUAAUACUGGAUAUGACUCCAUGACGCAUGUUGUGGGGUGGAAAGCCUUGUGCGGCUGAGGAUGGGCCCGCGGCCUAUCAGCCUGUUGGUGGGGUGANGGCCUACCAAGGCGACGACGGGUAGCCGGCCUGAGAGGGCGACCGGCCACACUGGGACUGAGACACGGCCCAGACUCCUACGGGAGGCAGCAGUGGGGAAUCUUGCGCAAUGGGCGAAAGCCUGACGCAGCGACGCCGCGUGAGGGAUGACGGCCU
Molecule: ribosomal RNA, 388 nt
Filed under: uncultured bacterium
Lineage: Bacteria
Description: bacterial SSU rRNA
Rfam family: Bacterial small subunit ribosomal RNA
Source: RNAcentral